CUGGAUGUGGGACACGAGACACUGCUGGUACAAUUACCCCUAUCAGGUGCUGACCUCAGGCCUGUAUUAUUAUUAUAUAACAGAACUGGCCUUCUACUGGUCGCUCAUGUUCUCACAGUUCACAGACAUCAAAAGAAAGG
Long non-coding RNA from Cyprinus carpio (common carp), 140 nucleotides. RefSeq lists it as uncharacterized. NCBI's taxonomy places the organism in Eukaryota, Metazoa, Chordata, Actinopteri, Cypriniformes, Cyprinidae. The record is from RefSeq and is a predicted model, not a curated record. The transcript has 2 exons.